GAUGAACGCUGGCGGCGUGCCUAAUAUAUGCAAGUCGAGCGAACAGACGAGGAGCUUGCUCCUCUGACGUUAGCGGCGGACGGGUGAGUAACACGUGGAUAACCUACCUAUAAGACUGGGAUAACUUCGGGAAACCGGAGCUAAUACCGGAUAAUAUAUUGAACCGCAUGGUUCAAUAGUGAAAGACGGUUUUGCUGUCACUUAUAGAUGGAUCCGCGCCGCAUUAGCUAGUUGGUAAGGUAACGGCUUACCAAGGCAACGAUGCGUAGCCGACCUGAGAGGGUGAUCGGCCACACUGGAACUGAGACACGGUCCAGACUCCUACGGGAGGCAGCAGUAGGGAAUCUUCCGCAAUGGGCGAAAGCCUGACGGAGCAACGCCGCGUGAGUGAUGAAGGUCUUCGAAUCGUAAAACUCUGUUAUUAGGGAAGAACAAAUGUGUAAGUAACUAUGCACGUCUUGACGGUACCUAAUCAGAAAGCCACGGCUAACUACGUG
Molecule: ribosomal RNA, 497 nt
Filed under: uncultured bacterium
Lineage: Bacteria
Description: partial 16S ribosomal RNA
Rfam family: Bacterial small subunit ribosomal RNA
Source: RNAcentral